Molecule: ribosomal RNA, 447 nt
Filed under: uncultured bacterium
Lineage: Bacteria
Description: bacterial SSU rRNA
Rfam family: Bacterial small subunit ribosomal RNA
Source: RNAcentral
UGGGGAAUUUUGGGCAAUGGGCGAAAGCCUGACCCAGCAACGCCGCGUGAAGGAUGAAGUAUUUCGGUAUGUAAACUUCGUAAGAAUAGGAAGAAUAAAUGACGGUACUAUUUAUAAGGUCCGGCUAACUACGUGCCAGCAGCCGCGGUAAUACGUAGGGACCAAGCGUUGUUCGGAUUUACUGGGCGUAAAGGGCGCGUAGGCGGCAUGACAAGUCACUUGUGAAAUCUCUGGGCUUAACCCAGAACGGCCAAGUGAUACUGUCGCGCUAGAGUGCAGAAGGGGCAAUCGGAAUUCUUGGUGUAGCGGUGAAAUGCGUAGAUAUCAAGAGGAACACCUGAGGUGAAGACGGGUUGCUGGGCUGACACUGACGCUGAGGCGCGAAAGCCAGGGGAGCAAACGGGAUUAGAUACCCGAGUAGUCCCUGAGCGGGCUGGCAAGGCGCAU